UGCCCCCGUAGCUCAGCUGGAUAGAGCAACGGAUUCCUAAUCCGUAGGUCGGACGUUCGAGUCGUCUCGGGGUAA
This 75-nucleotide transfer RNA is filed under the name Nitrospinaceae bacterium. RNAcentral describes it as "tRNA-Arg". It matches the Rfam family "tRNA". Rfam says of the family: Transfer RNA (tRNA) molecules are approximately 80 nucleotides in length. The record is from RNAcentral. Lineage: Bacteria; Pseudomonadati; Nitrospinota; Nitrospinia; Nitrospinales; Nitrospinaceae.